RNAcentral lists this long non-coding RNA (1002 nucleotides) under Oryctolagus cuniculus (rabbit). Its description in RNAcentral is "lncRNA (ENSOCUG00000033526.1)". The record is from RNAcentral. Lineage: Eukaryota; Metazoa; Chordata; Mammalia; Lagomorpha; Leporidae.
AUGCACUUCCCAUCACCCGCAGGCUCCUCCGCGCCCUCUGCCCCUCGCCCGCAGAGGGUCCCCGAGCCCGUUUCGCGCACUCGUCUUCGGCGGGGCGCAAGCCCUCUCUCCUCCGCCCCGGCCCGGGCUCGGUCGGGCAGACCGCAGUGGUCGGCCCGAGCGCCCCAGCGCAGCAGGCUGUGCCGCCGGGUGCCCCACAGCUCCAGUGCGCGCCGCAGCCAAAGGCAGAGGAGGCAGCACGCGCAGCGCGACGCCCCGACACCGAUUUACCCUUUCGGAUGGGCACCGGGAGCCUCCAUGUUCCUGGGUUGGGGCCAGCGCCGGCAGGACCUGGCGGCGGGCGGGCGGGCGGCGGCGGCUGAGGGGUGCGGGCGGCCAGCCGGGAGCCGGCUCUGCAGUCCCGCGGGCGGCGAGUACGGAGCGCCCGGCCGCCGCCCGCAGCCGCACCGCGCCACGCAGCGCCGCACCUGGCCCGGCAGCGAACUCGAAUUAAAGGGACCGGGGGCCGGCGGGGGCGGAGGCGGCGGGGCGAGGCGCGCCACUGCCGCCGCCACCGAGCUGGCGGCGCCCUCGGACCCCGGCCUCGGCCCCCUCCCCACGAGGGACCCCCCCACCCCACCCCCACUCUUCGGCGGAGCCGCAAUUACUGACCCUAUCCCCGCGGGCUGCUCAGCUGGGGGACUGCGGGGCGGCGUGCCGCAGGGGCAGAAGUUGAGGAGCGCUUGGGAGAGGCUUCUGCAGGCGAUCCCAGGCCGGAGGCUGUUCUUUCGAGGCGGCCGGACGGGAGCAGCAGACCCCUCGGCGUCCUCUCCUGUCCGCGGGCCCUUUCCUCCGCCUCAGCUGCCCACCUCCCUCUUACCCAGCCGAGCCGUGGCUCUUCAGAGGGGUGCAGCAGGUGCGGGCCGCAGGGUGGCAGAAACUCACUGCCUUGCCCCCGCCUCGCGGCCUGGGGAGCGGCAGGAACAGACCACAACUGCAGGGCCGGCCCUCUGGCCUCCCUGA